GGGGGUCAGGGACCCACUUGAGGAGUUCUCAGAGCUCAAACACCAUGCUGGGAGAACUACUGCUCUCUUCAGAGCUGUCACACAGGGACAUUUAAGUCUGCAGAAGUUUCUGCUGCCUUUGUUAAGCUAUGCCUCGCCCACAGAGGUGGAGUCUGUAGAGGCGGUAGGCCUUGCUGGGCUGCAGUGGGCUCCACCCAGUUUGCGCUUCCCGGCAGUUUUAUUUACCUACUCAAGCCUCAGGAAUGGUGGACUCCCAUCCCCCUGCCCGGCUGCAGCCUCGCAGGUCAAUCUCAGACUGCUGCACUAGCAGUGAGCAAUGCCCAUGGGCAUUGGACCCAUCGAGCCAGGCACAGAAGAGAAUCUCCUGGUCUGUCGGUUGCUAAGACUAUGGGAAAAGUGCAAUAUUUUGACGUGAGUGUCCCAUUUUUCCAGGUACAGCCUGUCACGGCUUCCCUUGGCUAGGAAAGGGAAAUCCCCUGACCACUUGUGCUUCCCAGGUGAGGCGAUGCCCCACCCUGCUUCGGCUCACCCUCCAUGGGCUGCACCCACUGUCCAACCAGUCCCAAUGAGAAGAACCAGGUACCUCAGUUGGAAAAGCAGAAAUCACCCGUCUUCUGCGUCUAUCAUGCUGGGAGCUGCACACCGGAGCUGUUCCUAUUCAGCCAUCUUAGACGAAGAGUGUUAGUUUCAAAUUAUAAAACACAUGCAUACACAAUUGAGUUUAUUAUUUUUAUAAUCAAGUGUUAAUUGGCUCUAAUUAUUUAUUUGAAUUAUUUUCCUAUGUGCCCCUUUUCAUCACAUAUUGUUUUCUUCUCCUUACUUGUGAGUUUAUUUUUCCUACUAGUAAACUACAUGCUUUAAAAAUGUUUGCAUUGAGAACAUAAUUCUCUUAGCCUUUGUAUACUUACAAUAUUUUAAUUUUAUUCUCACUCUUAAAUAAUAUGGAGAAUUCUAGGUUAACAGUUAUUUUCCAAUAACAGUCAGAAGAUGUAAUUUCAUUGUCUUUUGGCAUCUAGUACUGCUUAUGAGAAAAUUUUUAGUCAAAUUUUGUUCCUUUUAAAAGAAGUAAUUUUUUUUGUUUGAAACUCAUUAUUGCCAAUAUUUCAGUGUAUAAAAAUGAAGAUUUCUUUCUUCCAUCUUUCCUUCCUUUUUUUCCUUCCUUUUCAAUUUCCUCUUUCCUCUUCCAUUUUCUUUUUUUCUCUUUCUUUCUUUCCUUCUUUUCUUAUAUCAUAAUUAUUGUUCACAGUGUGCAUUCAAUUUAAGCAUUGUGUCUUCCUUUAGUAAUGGGACAUUCUCAACCAUUAUUUUAUUUAGUGUUUCUUCUGUGCCUUUCUCUACAUUUUCUAAUUUGUAAUCAUCUGAAAUUAAAGCUGUAAUUUUAGUUUGUUCCUCACGUAACUUAUUUUUAAAAAACCUUUAUUUCUCUAUGUGUGAUUCAAGGAGUUCUAUAAUAUAAUCUUCCAUUGCACUAAUUCUCUCCUCUAUUGUCUUCAGCAUCUAUUCUGAAGUAAAAUUAAUAAAUUUUACUUUUAUUAAUUUAAGUGAAUAUAUUAAUUUUAGUGACUAUAAUUUGCCUUUUUAUAACUUAUAAUUAAUUUUUGGUUUUAUAUAUGCCUAUUUUAUAUUAAUGCUAUGUUAAUUAAUUUCACAUAAUACUUUUAUUUUUAUUGACAUAAUUUUCAUAUAGUGAAAUGCACAGAUCUUAAAUGCUACAAUCUGUGAUGGUUUGACACAUACUGAAAUUUAUACACAUCCCUACCAUGAUGGAGAAUAUUUCCAUCAUUCCAGAAAAUUCUCUCAUGCUUGAUCCUACAAAACUAGUAAAUGUUCUGAUUUUUUCCAUGAUUUUUGCCUGUUCUAGAACUUUAUAUAAAAGGAGCCAAUUAUGUGUAUCAUCUUUUGCUUUGAAUAAUGCAUUUCACUUAGAAUAACUGUUUUCAUUCAUGUUUUACAUGUAUCAUAAAUUUAUUAAUUUUUAUUGCUGAGUGACAUUUUAUGUUUUAUUAUAUUAGUAUCACAUAUUAUGAACAUAUUUUUAAUUCUUUCUCUUGUUCAUGGAAAUUUGACUUAUUCAAGGUUUGAAAUAUUGGGAUAUGACUAUCCAUGAAUCACUCAUAUUUUCAUAUAUCUAGUAAUUAAUGGUCAACUUGUUUUGGACUGUCCUUUAAAAAAUGUUCGUAUAAGCACAUCCCCAUGGAAAAUGAGACAUUGAUUCCACCUGGAACUGAUUAAUUUACUUUCCAGGGUAACACAUAUAGAGAUAUCUCUCUCUUCUUGGAGCAGAGUUACUUACAUUGCAGAAAAAUAAAGGUAAAAUCUCUCUCCAGUGGGGAAGAGGGACAGAUUUACUUUCAGCCUCUGUAUAAGAUCAGGCUCCACUAAUCUCAAGGGUUUUCUCCUAUAAUACAUCUUCACUGCAUGUGCAGGCAACAUCCGUCCCCAUCAAAUUACCCUGUGGGAAUUGGCACUCAAAGAACUGGUGCCAAGAUGUUACUCUUGCUGAUUGUAUUGCUGUAACAAACCAUCUUUUCUUCUAACCAAGAGGUCUCAUGUCUUUUUUCCAAUGUAUAUGAACGUAUGUAAGACUAACUGCCCUUCAUUAUUCUUUGCACAUUUCCUUACUUUGAAAAAAAGACAUUCUAGGUUUAUCUUUAAUUUCCCUGUUUCAUUCCUGAACUAACAUAUUUCUCUAAGAUAUCCUUAUUAGUUUUAGAGGAAACAGCUCCUCCAAAUGAAAAUUUGGUGCUAGAUCCACUUAUUGAUAGAGAGACAUGAUUGCUUCUAGAACCUGUCAGCAUAACAAGAUGCAGGGAUUCUCAAGAGAGGUGAAACUCAAGGAAAUGUCAUUUACUGCUCUAGUUUUCUCAAACUUUACACAAUCCACAAGCAUAUUGGAACAAAAAUGGUGGGGAACGUAAGAGAGAGACUGGAAAAAAUGCUCAUCAGAGUAAAGAGCAGAAGAAAGAAAUGGAUGAAGUGGAUAUAAGACCUGUCCUGCUACACAAACAAUAUUAAGGUAAGCUGCUGUGCUGUGAGACGGACACAUGUCAAGGAAUUGAAGAGGCCUCUAAGAGUUAAAAGUGGAACCUGAUUGACAGCCAGUCAAAUUGAGACUGCAGUCCUACAACUUCAAGCAACUUAAUUCUGCCAACAAGCAUAUGUGCAUGUAAGAAGACCACGAGCUCCAGAAAAUAAUGCAGCCCAUCCAAGAAUGCAGUCUAUCCAAGACUGAGACCUUGAAAAGAAGACCCACCUAAGUGCUGUGUCACCUAAUCCACAGAAACUAUGAGAUAAUAAAUGUUUGUUAAGUCACUAACAUCGUGAUAAUUUGCUCUGCAGCAAUAGAAAACUCCUACACUAACUAAACCUAAAAUUAAGACCCAGAAGAAUUAAACAGUUCCUAAGUAACUUUGCUAUGUCUGAGAAUAAAGUUCAAAGAUACUUAUAAGCAUACAAGUCCCAAAAUCCAACAAGAUGAAGUUUACAAUGUCUGACAACCAAUGAAAAUUACCAGUGAUACACAAAACAAGAAAAUGAAAAACCAUGGUUAAAAAAAAGAGAGACACUGACACAGAAAUAACACAAAUCAUAGAAUUAAUACACAAAUACAUUAAAGCAGUUACUAAGGCUGUAUUUCUUGUAUUAGGAAAACUGGAAGAAGUAACAUGGAAAAUAUAAAAGAGAUUUAAACCUAAAUUCCAGAGGUAAGAAAAAUAAUGUGUGACUUGAAAAAUACCCUACAAAAAAUUGAAGCUACAUUAAACAUUUCUGGUGACCUACAGGACAAUUUCAAAGAGCCAAAUAUAUGAGUUAUAAAAUUCCAAAAGAGAGAUAUCCAAAAUAAUAAAAAUUGAAAAAAUAAUUGCCAACAGUAUUUUUAAAAUUUGAUGAAAACUAUAAAGCCAUAGAUCUAAGAAAUUAAAUGAAUCUCAACUAGAAGAAUUUUUUUCAAAAACCAACACCAAAACACAUUAUUGUAAAACUGCUUAAUAUCAGCAGUUAAAUUGGGAAAACAAACAAAACAAUCUACAAAGAUCGAGAAGAAAAAGUUACCUUAUAUAUGGAAAAACAAAGAUAAGAAUGACAGAAGCAGAUUUCUUGUCAGACAACACAAGUUAGAAGACAGUAGAGCAACAUUUUUAAAGUGCUGAAAGGAAAAAGUAAACUAGCAUUCCUAUGCAUUUAAGCUCUCUUUCUAAAAACAAAAAUGUAAUAAAAGCUUUUUUACACAAACAAAAGCUUGAAAUAAUUAUUAGCAAACUUGCACUACAAUAAAUGUUGAGGGAAGUCCUUCUGUGUAAAGGAAAAUAACAAACAGAAACUUAUUUCUACAUAAAGGUACAAAGAGUGUCAGAAAUGGUAAUGACAUAAUUAAAACGGCAUAAAUCUAGAGCAUUUUUCUUACUAUUUAAAUAUCUGAUGAAGAUAAUCUUUGACAGUAAAAACAAUAAUGUGUUAUAGGGAUUAUAAUAUGCAGAUGUAAAAUGUAUGAUAACAAUAACAUAAAUUCUAGGAGAGGAAAAAUAAAGGAUUUUUCAGAUGGCCUUUAUACUAUAUAAUAAGUUGUAUAUUAUCAUUUGAAAGUACAUUAUGAUGAGUUACCCGUGAAUCUUAUAACCCCUAAAAUAAUAAACAUGAUAAGACAAGAAGUUAUAACUAAUACAACAAAAUAUGAAAAAAUAAUAGUACAAAUUACUUAAAUAAUCCAAAGGUAGGAAUAAAAAUAGAUUUAAAGAGGAAUACAGAUAAAUGGGACAAAUAGGACACAAAUAGCAAGAUGACAGACACAACUAAGGACCUAUACUAAUAAUCAUUAAGUGUUAUCCGAAAAAUAUCUAAACAUCCCAAUUAAAUGCAGAGUUUUUUUAACUGGCUACAGAAAC
RNAcentral lists this long non-coding RNA (4883 nucleotides) under Homo sapiens (human). RNAcentral's name for it is "HSALNT0008997". The record is from RNAcentral. Lineage: Eukaryota; Metazoa; Chordata; Mammalia; Primates; Hominidae.